CCUACGGGAGGCUGCAGUAGGGAAUUUUCGUCAAUGGGGGAAACCCUGAACGAGCAAUGCCGCGUGAGUGAAGAAGGUCUUCGGAUCGUAAAGCCCUGUUGUAAGUGAAGAACGGCUCAUAGAGGAAAUGCUAUGGGAGUUACGGUAGCUUACCAGAAAGCCACGGCCAACUACGUGCCAGCAGCCGCGGUAAUACGUAGGUGGCAAGCGUUAUCCGGAGUCAUUGGGCGUAAAGGGUGCGUAGGUGGCUCACUAAGUCUGUAGUAAAAGGCAAUGGCUCAACCAUUGUGAGCUAUUGAAACUGGUAUGCUGGAGUGCGGAAGAGGGAGAUGGAAUGCGAGGUGUAGCGGUAAAAUGCGUAGAUAUAGGGAAGAACACCGGUGGCGAAGGCGGUGGCCUGGUCUGUAACUGACACUGAGGCACGAAAGCGUGGGGAGCGAAUAGGAUUAGAUACCCGAGUAGUC
This 464-nucleotide ribosomal RNA is filed under the name uncultured bacterium. Its description in RNAcentral is "partial 16S ribosomal RNA". It matches the Rfam family "Bacterial small subunit ribosomal RNA", at positions 338 to 795 of the family's 1533-position model. The record is from RNAcentral.